This 253-nucleotide ribosomal RNA is filed under the name uncultured bacterium. RNAcentral's name for it is "partial 16S ribosomal RNA". It matches the Rfam family "Bacterial small subunit ribosomal RNA", at positions 524 to 776 of the family's 1533-position model. The record is from RNAcentral.
UACGAAGGGGGCUAGCGUUGCUCGGAAUUACUGGGCGUAAAGGGCGCGUAGGCGGACAGUUUAGUCAGAGGUGAAAGCCCAGGGCUCAACCUUGGAAUUGCCUUUGAUACUGGCUGUCUUGAGUUCGGGAGAGGUGAGUGGAAUGCCGAGUGUAGAGGUGAAAUUCGUAGAUAUCGGGAGGAACACCGGUGGCGAAGGCGGCGAUCUGGGUAGAUACUGACGCUGAGGUGCGAAAGCGUGGGGAGCAAACAGG